This is a long non-coding RNA of Pseudophryne corroboree (corroboree frog), 225 nucleotides long. RefSeq lists it as uncharacterized. The record is from RefSeq and is a predicted model, not a curated record. The transcript has 4 exons. NCBI's taxonomy places the organism in Eukaryota, Metazoa, Chordata, Amphibia, Anura, Myobatrachidae.
GACCACUGCUGGCUGUGCGACUGAGUCUUUCAACACGGCUGGUCUGUCUGGUCAAGCUAUAGGCUUACUUAAUGGUGUUGUGGAAAAAACUUUGGAUCCUUUGUUGAAUACUGUGAUAGACACCGUGGGAACUCUUUUAGGAGGCAUUUUAAACCCCAUUCUUUGUAACAAGGAUGGAGGUCUUCUAGGUCUUGGAAUUUCACUUGGAAAUCCAGUCGGCAAAUG